RNAcentral lists this ribosomal RNA (497 nucleotides) under uncultured bacterium. Its description in RNAcentral is "partial 16S ribosomal RNA". It matches the Rfam family "Bacterial small subunit ribosomal RNA", at positions 28 to 507 of the family's 1533-position model. The record is from RNAcentral.
GAUGAACGCUGGCGGCGUGCCUAAUACAUGCAAGUCGAGCGAACGGACGAGAAGCUUGCUUCUCCGAUGUUAGCGGCGGACGGGGGAGUAACACGUGGAUAACCUACCUAUCAGCCUGGGAUCACUUCGGGAAACCGGAGCUAACACCGGAUAAUAUUUUGAACCGCAUGGUUCAAAAGUGAAAGACGCUCUUGCUGUCACUUAUAGAUGGAUCCGCGCUGCAUUAGCUAGUUGGUAAGGUAACGGCUUACCAAGGCAACGAUGCAUAGCCGACCUGAGAGAGUGAUCGGCCGCACGGGAGCGGGGACACGGAGCAGGACCCGGAGGGAGGCACGGGUAGGGAAUCUUCGGGAGGGGGCGGAAGGGUGACGGAGGAAAGGGGCGCGAGUGAGGAAGGUCUUCGGAGCGUAAAGGAAGGCGACUAGCGAGGAACAUAUGUGUAAGGAAAGGUGCAAAUCUUGACGGUACCUGAUGAAAAAGCCACGGCUAACUCCGUG